Molecule: ribosomal RNA, 253 nt
Filed under: uncultured bacterium
Lineage: Bacteria
Description: partial 16S ribosomal RNA
Rfam family: Bacterial small subunit ribosomal RNA
Source: RNAcentral
UACGUAGGGUGCAAGCGUUGUCCGGAAUUAUUGGGCGUAAAGAGCUCGUAGGCGGUCUGUCGCGUCGGAUGUGAAAAUCCAGGGCUCAACCCUGGACCUGCAUUCGAUACGGGCAGACUUGAGUUCGGCAGGGGAGACUGGAAUUCCUGGUGUAGCGGUGAAAUGCGCAGAUAUCAGGAGGAACACCGGUGGCGAAGGCGGGUCUCUGGGCCUUACCUGACGCUCAGGCGCGAAAGCUAGGGGAGCGAACAGG